RNAcentral lists this long non-coding RNA (226 nucleotides) under Mytilus galloprovincialis (Mediterranean mussel). The record is from RNAcentral. Lineage: Eukaryota; Metazoa; Mollusca; Bivalvia; Mytilida; Mytilidae.
ACCAAAAUGGUCAGUUGACCCCUUAAGGAGUUAUUGCCCUUUACAGUCAAUUUUUAAUAAUUUUCAUAAAUUUGGUAAAUUUUGUAAAUUUAACAAAAUAUUUUUCUUAACAAUGGGGCCAAGUUCAUUAUAAAUAGAGAUAAUUGUAAGAAGCAAGAAUGUUCAGUAAAUUAAGAUCUACAAACAUAUCACCAUCACCAAAACACAAUUUUGGCAUUAAUCCAUC